This is a small nucleolar RNA of Marmota flaviventris (yellow-bellied marmot), 97 nucleotides long. RefSeq annotates it as small nucleolar RNA U13. Lineage: Eukaryota; Metazoa; Chordata; Mammalia; Rodentia; Sciuridae. The record is from RefSeq and is a predicted model, not a curated record.
AUCCUCAUGUUCAUAAACAUGAUGAUUGAUUUUUCAGGCCAUUGUGAGAGAUGUGACUCCCUCCAAACUUGUUGCAAUGUUAGCACAUUACCUGAAU